Molecule: ribosomal RNA, 301 nt
Filed under: uncultured bacterium
Lineage: Bacteria
Description: partial 16S ribosomal RNA
Rfam family: Bacterial small subunit ribosomal RNA
Source: RNAcentral
CAGUAGCCACGGUAAUACAGAGGGUGCAAGCGUUAAUCGGAAUUACUGGGCGUAAAGCGUGCGCAGAUGGUUAUGUAAGUCAGAUGUGAAAGCCCCGGGCUCAACCUGGGAAUUGCAUUUGAGACUGUGUAGCUAGGGUGCGGUAGAGGGAAGCGGAAUUUCCGGUGUAGCGGUGAAAUGCGUAGAUAUCGGAAGGAACACCAGUGGCGAAAGCGGCUUCCUGGACCAGCACCGACAUUCAGGCACGAAAGCGUGGGGAGCAAACAGGAUUAGAUACCCCAGUAGUCCCUGUCUCUUAUAA